GACGAACGCUGGCGGCGCGCCUAACGCAUGCAAGUCGAACGAGAGAUGAGGAGCUUGCUCUUCAAAUCGAGUGGCGAACGGGUGAGUAACGCGUGAGGAACCUGCCUCAAAGAGGGGGACAACAGUUGGAAACGACUGCUAAUACCGCAUAAGCCCACGGCUCGGCAUCGAGCAGAGGGAAAAGGAGCAAUCCGCUUUGAGAUGGCCUCGCGUCCGAUUAGCUAGUUGGUGAGGUAACGGCCCACCAAGGCGACGAUCGGUAGCCGGACUGAGAGGUUGAACGGCCACAUUGGGACUGAGACACGGCCCAGACUCCUACGGGAGGCAGCAGUGGGGAAUAUUGCACAAUGGGGGAAACCCUGAUGCAGCGACGCCGCGUGGAGGAAGAAGGUCUUCGGAUUGUAAACUCCUGUUGUUGAGGAAGAUAAUGACGGUACUCA
Molecule: ribosomal RNA, 440 nt
Filed under: uncultured bacterium
Lineage: Bacteria
Description: bacterial SSU rRNA
Rfam family: Bacterial small subunit ribosomal RNA
Source: RNAcentral